Molecule: small nucleolar RNA, 107 nt
Filed under: Olea europaea subsp. europaea
Lineage: Eukaryota; Viridiplantae; Streptophyta; Magnoliopsida; Lamiales; Oleaceae
Source: RNAcentral
AUCCCAUGAUAUGGACACUUUUGCAACAUAUUCUUGAACUUAUUAUAGGCUUCAUCAAAAUUCUCUAAGUUGCCUUGAUGGAAGACAGAAAUGUCAUGCUUGAGCUU